This is a long non-coding RNA of Bicyclus anynana (squinting bush brown), 984 nucleotides long. RefSeq lists it as uncharacterized. The transcript has 3 exons. The record is from RefSeq and is a predicted model, not a curated record. Lineage: Eukaryota; Metazoa; Arthropoda; Insecta; Lepidoptera; Nymphalidae.
GAGGUUGCGCUGGUCUGACCAUGGAUACACCACCCAAGCGGCGUAAGUGUUGCAAAAGGUUCUCCUGCUUUGCCUUCAACUACUUGUAGUGGUAAUAAUAAAUGAUAAUUAUCUUGCCCUAUCAAUAUUUCGGGCUUAUAAUGUGCGAGAUUAAUUUUAUUUUUUACUUCAGAUAAAUAAUCGUAUCGCGUAAUGCAUAAAUUCGAGGAAUCUUGCGCAGGUAAACUCAAGUUGUCUACACUAUUUCCCGUUAGCGAAUAUAGUUGGCCGUCUCUGUUUGUCACAGUAAAUUUCAGUGACUCGCUGUCGCAUUCUAUUGCAUUGUUCCAUGCGCCACACACGCGCAUCUUUGUGUGACGUCCGUGUAAACCAACGCGCGCCGCCAGCUCCGAGUUUAUUAGUGUGACAGUUGAUCCGUCGUCGAGUAACGCGCUUGUAGUCUCGGUUCCGCUCGGUCCAUGUACUCAUCCUCUCCGAUCGCGACGACUGCUGCCACGAAGUUCUGGAUUUUGACCGCGAACUUGACUAUAUCUUUAUGAUAUUCGUCUGCUAAGUGUCGCGGUGUUUCUGCUCCCGUUCCUGCCUUCCUUCGGUACGCGCAGGAUUUGCCAUGAUGCUUGGCGGCGGAGUUUGAAACAUACCUUUUAUAUAUAUCGGCUCAAGAUUUGGCUCGAAGACCACUUUGUAAGGGCCAGGCUUAAUAAAACACAGCUUUUGGUAAAAUCGGCUUAUUUCUUUGGAUACGUGUGUGGUGACCGUUGCUCGGGUGAAGUAAGAGUCGUUGGUUUUCAAAUUGGUUGUCAACGAGUGACGUUUUGAUUUUUCUGACAUUAAGUGACGUUUGCUGUCACCACACGCGUUCCAUUUCACCAUUUAUUUAAACUAUAUACAUAAUACAUUUAGGUACAUAAUAUUAUUAAUACGCGUCGUUAACAAUAUUAGUAUAGAUAUUAUUCAUCAAUACUCAAUGAAUAAUAGUUUAAC